Molecule: non-coding RNA, 1645 nt
Organism: Anolis sagrei ordinatus
Lineage: Eukaryota; Metazoa; Chordata; Lepidosauria; Squamata; Anolidae
Source: RefSeq, a predicted model, not a curated record
UUGACCCAGAGAAUUUCCUGGAUGAGAAUGGCCGUUUCAAGAAGAACAAUGCCUUUGUCCCAUUCUCCUCAGGGAAGCGGAUCUGUCUGGGUGAAUCUUUGGCCUGCAUGGAGCUUUUCCUCUUCUUCACCACCAUCCUCCAGAGUUUCCAUCUGAAGCCCACUAUCCCCCCUGAAGACAUUGACCUAACUCCUCUGGAAAGCGGCUUGAUCACUGUCCCACCCUUCUACCAGUUCUCCGUCACCCCACGCUGACCCAAAGGGCUCAUUGUCUACAGCCAUAACUUCCUUACAGAUGUUAAAUACCACAGCUUUUGUUUUCAGCUCCAUGAAGAGAGUGAUGAAGUCCAUGAUUCACUGCAGACCAAGAUAUAUGCUUUCCUACUAAAAUACGAGGGGUAUUUUUAAGUAAGGUCCAUUUGAACAUAAGUACACAACGAAAGUUUAUUUCAAAAAAGUAAAUUUAUUUUCAGAAAGUACAUACUUCACUCUAUUUUUCGACAUAGUUGCCAAGUUUGUUCAAACACUUAUCAUACCUCUGAACCAAUUUUAAAAUACCCUCUUCAUAAAAACGUGCCGCCACCAAAAGCCACCAAAUCGUCUGUAAUCAAAGAAGGGCGACCGGAGUGGUCCUCAUCAUGGACGUUGUCACGGCCAUCUUUGAAUUGUCGUACCCACUUACGCACUUUGCUUUCACUCAUAACAGUAUCACCGUACACUUCACAAAUCUGUCAAUGAAUUUCUGCAGCAGGCAGGUUCCUUGCUGACAAAAACCAUAUCACUGAGCAAACCUCACAUGUGGAGGGUGAGUUGAUAGUCUUAAACAUUUUUAAAGCACAGAACAGAACUGUACAGGUUAGCUACAGAGCGGAAAUUGAGCACAGUUGUUCCCGAGGCAUGCCGGUACACCACGCACGCGCUCGUUGCAGUAUGCGCGCGAACUACUAGUGUCUACAACAAAACUUACCUUACUUAAAAAAUACCCCGUACUAUAAUCCUCUCUACUGUUUUUAUCUCUGUACCUAAAGAAUAUGUAAAUCUUGAAAUUUAAAAUAUAAUAACAAAAUAUUUCUUGCAUUGGACUGAUCUGCAAUCAAUGGAUCUUUGUGGCCACUGUCCAGCUUCCAGCUGGUUCCUGUGGUGCCGUGUAGGUGCUCUGCAUGGAACCAGAUCCCUAUAAUCAACCUCCUGACCAGGCUUAGAUGGCUGUGUGGAAUCAGUCUAAAUUACACAGAUAUCUUGUUUUGUGGUUGUUGUUGAUGUUGUUGUUAAGGGGGAUUAUUUCUCUUCACCCAGUUUUCCCAUUAAUUUUGGAAACAGGAAAUUUUCCUUAGUUGCCCAUUCCAUUUUUCCUUUCAUUUAUUGUCUCUAUCCUCUUUCAAUAUUCUUUCCUCAUCCAUCCCAUAUUUGGGGAACAUGUCCUAAACCUAAAUUUCUUCCUAACUUCCUCUUAUCCAUCUGCAACUCAAGUCCCACUCCUAAAAUCUUUCUCUCUCUCUUUCUCUCUACCCCCACUUUCAUCCCUUCUUUCUUUUUCUUUCCUUCCACCCCCUCAUACCUUUUCUGCUUUCCUUUCCCUUCCCUCUCCCUAUCCUUCCUUCCUUCUCAUCCCUUUUCUCCUGUCUCUAGCUCACUGGAGGGAAGGA